Corticium candelabrum is the source of this 2461-nucleotide RNA transcript. It is a transcript of the gene named netrin receptor unc-40-like, with no coding region annotated. Lineage: Eukaryota; Metazoa; Porifera; Homoscleromorpha; Homosclerophorida; Plakinidae. The record is from RefSeq and is a predicted model, not a curated record. The transcript has 9 exons.
AGUGAGGCUUGCAUCAACCGUUGCUAGUCUAGCUAUUGUUCACUGCUAGAACGCAAAAUAACCACACCCACUUUAUCCGGGAUGCCAGUACUUGUUAGGUGUGGUUAUGGGAAAUAUUCUCUAAACGCAUGAUGGUGACUUUGCGGACAGGAUUAUCGUGGCUAACAGGACUGUCGUACAUCCUGUUGUUGUGGAAAUCGGUUGAGGGGCAGACACUGCAACCUCCUACGUUGGAGACAAAACCGAAGAAUAUCCAGGAUCUUAGAGAAAACACACAACUAGAGUUGAAGUGUACUUUCACAUCACAGUCUGGGCAGGGUCCAGUUAUCCCUCUAGUUGUCAUAACGCGCGCUGAUAAUACUGAAUUACCAACAUCACUGGUUCCGUUGCCAAAGACAAUCAGUGGUCUCCACAAUGUUAUUAAUAUUACUACGUUGUCGUCCAGUCAGUUUUCUGCUGAGUACACGGUGCAACUUGUAACUAGUAAAACAAUUACUAACUUGAGAUUUUCUUGUGUUCUACGACUUACAGAUGGAGGAGUACUUUCUAACACAUCGGACCCGUUCAAUGUCAAAUAUGAACCUUUGGAUGAUGCAGAUGACUUCUACAUGACGUGUGUUAGCACUAAUUCUCGAAAUUCAAGUGCAACUCUCUAUCUGAAUGCAAGUGAAAUUGUUAGAGAUCCUGGCAAUCCUACAUCAACUGUAAUGUGGAGCUGGCAAGAUAAUGGCAGGGCGAUAUCAUCAGGACAAGUCAGUGGCCGAUAUGAGGAACUACUGACUACUAUGGUAACAAGAGAUGAUGCUAUAAUCAAAAGAAUCGGUCAAUCUCAAGUGUACGAAUCUGGAGCAAUCCUUGCUUUCUAUAACAACACAAUAGGACAUACAAUGCAAAAAUUUAUUCUGUGUGUCAAAUCUGUUUCAGACGUUCCUACUAAUUUCAAAUGUCAAACGAUUGCUGUUGGCUACAAUUGUACUUGGAAUGAUCCUGUUGAUGAUGGUGGUGAAACAGUUAGCAGUUACUGCUAUGGUCACGUCAAAGGGAGAAAUGCUGGUUGUCCGACUAGUUCGAAGUGCCAGCUAAAUCCUACAACAGCUGUAGCAAAUACUCUUGACGAGGGAACUCCUUAUGUUGUUUAUGUUUAUGCUGUUAAUAGUUUGGGGAAUGGAAACUGUUCAACAGAUGUGGUGAUAACACGACUUGGUGCUCCAGAAAUUGUUACUGUGGUGACAGGACGAACAUCCCUUACAGUGAAAUGGAGUCAAGUGAAGACAUACGACAACGGCAAUGAUUUGAGAGUACAUGAGUAUUUGAUUGAGUAUAAAAUACAAGAUUCAUCGUUGGCUCAUUCACGAGUGAUGGCUAAGGGAAAUGAAACACAGAAAGACAUUCUGAACCUGCAAUCGAAUACAACAUACUCACUUCGUAUGCUUGCACGGAAUAGUAUUGGGAAUGGAAGGACAUCAGAUCCAUCUAAAGCAACGACUUUGAUUGAAGGUGAGGUAAGUCAAGUGCCAAAUGUGCAAGCUACAGCAAUAUCAUCUACACAAAUUCGUGUCACGUCGAACGAACCAGAUGCAGGCGGUGAGGUAAGUCAAGUGCCAAAUGUGCAAGCAACAGCAAUAUCAUCUACAGAAAUUCGUGUCACGUGGAACGAACCAGAUGCAGGCGGUGAAGGCUUUGCCAUCUUGUCCUAUACUGUUAAUUUAUAUCGUCAAGACAGGACAACUGCAGAGCGAUCUGUUGAAGUUAAGGGUUCAAUGAGAACAGUUACUAUAUUCAGACUUUUGGAAGAUACAUCAUACGACAUAGAAGUGAUAGCUAGUAAUGGACGAAACACAGGCCGACCAUCAGAUAGAAUUGUAGUAAGAACACAGUCGAAAACAUCAAGCUCAGACACCUUGGGAACACUUCAAUCUAUCUUUCAGCGACUCUCUGGGCUUCAUUCCUAAUCCCCUUCUGACUCCUUUACAGAAGUCAACAUUUACUGAUCUUAUGUACCGUCUUCAUACACUUUAUAUCUCAAAAGAUGACAAUCAUAAAGCAAAUUGGCGCUAGUUGGACAUCAGUUAUUCUCAUUCAUGCUAAAUAAAUUUUCACCUCUAGACGUGGCACUACAGAGUUAACAGCACCAAGGUAUUUCCUGUCUCUGCUCUCUACACAACACCCAAGCAACAGUUAUAGUUUGCCCAUUGGCUCUGCAACAAAUAAAACUUAUAGAGAAGAGAAGAAGACGAGGAAACAACAGCGCGUAUUUUACAAUUUCAAGCAAUUUACUACAAGACCGACAAAAUUAGUGAGACAAACAGCAGAUUAAGGCAAAGAAAUGCAAGUUUAACUGUAUGCUUUAGCGAGCAUAUAAAUUAGUCAAGAAUUGUUUAUUGUACUCGACAAAAACAAGUAAAAAAGUAUACAAACAAUGUGUUUAUGCAGUGUGUUGUUAUAAAAUUAAUUAAUGAAU